AUAUAACAAAUAUUAUUAGAUAAAAAGGCUUUUUCGUCAGUACUAUCACAGGUUGCGGCAUCUGACUCUUCUGAAGAAAGAAUUUUUCUACCAAAGGAGCAACAACAAAAACUGGACUCACAAAGACAGAGCAUUUUUUCAUCAUAAAGAAUAUUCAGUAGAAGUUCCAAGAAUUACAAACAUUUGCUUCGAUCAUAAUGGAUGUGACAUUAACUGAGAAUCUGAGACCACAACUGAAAAGAGCCCUUUCUGAACCCUGCGCUUCAACUCUGGAUAGUUUCUUUCUUCAGCAGCCAACUUGGCUGCAAAGAAUCCCAAACUUUGAAUUUUAUAAAGUGUGAGUAAGUACUGAAUUUCACUACUUUGUAAAUAUCAUUUCUUCAGGGUAAAAUGUAACAAUAACAGUCGAAUCAGGUGGCUUAGGAGUGACAGCUUUAGACUUGAAGAAUGGAUUGGCCAAUUCUAAGAAUUUUAAGAUUUAUAAUGGACUUGUGCUUUUGUGCAUUUGAAAAAAAAAAAAAAA
Molecule: long non-coding RNA, 523 nt
Organism: Bemisia tabaci
Lineage: Eukaryota; Metazoa; Arthropoda; Insecta; Hemiptera; Aleyrodidae
Source: RefSeq, a predicted model, not a curated record